RNAcentral lists this ribosomal RNA (216 nucleotides) under Campeiostachys nutans. RNAcentral's name for it is "Elymus nutans partial small subunit ribosomal RNA". Lineage: Eukaryota; Viridiplantae; Streptophyta; Magnoliopsida; Poales; Poaceae. The record is from RNAcentral.
GGAUUUGUCAGUUGGUCGGGCUUCACUGUCCGUAUUGACUUGAUGGAUUCUUAGCCUCUGAAUAACCAGCAUGCUAUUAAGUUAGUGCGUUGGGGAAGCAGAUCUAUUACCUUGAGAAAAUAGAGUGUUCAAAGCAGGCCUUUGCCCGAAUACAUUAGCAUGGCAUAAUAAAAUAGGACGUGCGGUUCUAUUUUGUUGGUUUCUAGAGUCGCCGUA